GCGAACGCUGGCGGCAGGCCUAACACAUGCAAGUCGAACGAACCUUCGGGUUAGUGGCGGACGGGUGAGUAACACGUGGGAACGUGCCUUUUGGUUCGGAACAACUCAGGGAAACUUGAGCUAAUACCGAAUGUGCCCUUCGGGGGAAAGAUUUAUCGCCAUUAGAGCGGCCCGCGUCUGAUUAGCUUGUUGGUGAGGUAAAGGCUCACCAAGGCUACGAUCAGUAGCUGGUCUGAGAGGAUGAUCAGCCACAUUGGUACUGAGACACGGCCCAAACUCCUACGGGAGGCAGCAGUGGGGAAUCUUGCGCAAUGGGCGAAAGCCUGACGCAGCCAUGCCGCGUGAAUGAUGAAGGUCUUAGGAUUGUAAAAUUCUUUCACCGGGGACGAUAAUGACGGUAGCCGGAGAAGAAGCCCCGGCUAACUUCGU
Molecule: ribosomal RNA, 429 nt
Filed under: uncultured bacterium
Lineage: Bacteria
Description: bacterial SSU rRNA
Rfam family: Bacterial small subunit ribosomal RNA
Source: RNAcentral